CCUUAUACUCUCCUCCACCUACAAAUCCCUUAGUAAAAACUUCUAUUUUUAUCAGUGACCAUUUUCCAUCGUAAGCACCACCGUUCUGCCCAACUAUUUCCCUGCUUUCCCCAUAUCUCCCUCUCCCCUCUUCUGUGCUUCUGCUGCAUUUGACAGAGUCAAACUCAUCUAACCAGGUGAAAUUAUGACGACGAUGAUGAAAUUGAAGCUGACAGGCUUUAUGUGGGUAACUUGCCAUAUGCCAUGACGUAGAGGUCUAUUUUGAUAUUUAUACUAUAUUCUUUGGCUUUGGUGAUUUGUUUUUUUGGAAAUUAUGAAUUUGGUCAUAAGUCGGUUUCUUGCCAUGCUUUUUUGGUGACAAACUGAUCUGGGUUUCUUGAAUUUGGUCAGAUUGUGUAUGAUAGAGUUACAGAAAGGAGUCAUGG
RNAcentral lists this long non-coding RNA (425 nucleotides) under Panax ginseng (ginseng). RNAcentral's name for it is "long non-coding RNA (PGIN_LNC015691)". Lineage: Eukaryota; Viridiplantae; Streptophyta; Magnoliopsida; Apiales; Araliaceae. The record is from RNAcentral.